This 253-nucleotide ribosomal RNA is filed under the name uncultured bacterium. RNAcentral's name for it is "partial 16S ribosomal RNA". It matches the Rfam family "Bacterial small subunit ribosomal RNA", at positions 524 to 776 of the family's 1533-position model. The record is from RNAcentral.
UACGAGGGGGGCAAAUGUUGUUCGGAAUUACUGGGCGUAAAGGGCGCGUAGGCGGCCUGCUAAGUCGAACGUGAAAUCCCCGGGCUCAACCCGGGAACUGCGUCCGAUACUGGCAGGCUUGAAUUCGGGAGAGGGAUGCGGAAUUCCAGGUGUAGCGGUGAAAUGCGUAGAUAUCUGGAGGAACACCGGUGGCGAAGGCGGCAUCCUGGACCGAAAUUGACGCUGAGGCGCGAAAGCCAGGGGAGCAAACGGG